This is a non-coding RNA of Rhodococcus sp. MEB064, 1953 nucleotides long. Lineage: Bacteria; Bacillati; Actinomycetota; Actinomycetes; Mycobacteriales; Nocardiaceae. The record is from Rfam.
UUGUAAGUAAUGAAGAGCGUACGGUGGAUGCCUUGGCACCAGGAGCCGAUGAAGGACGUAGGAGGCUGCGAUAAGCCUCGGGGAGCUGUCAACCGAGCUGAGAUCCGAGGGUGUCCGAAUGGGGAAACCCAGCACGAGUGAUGUCGUGUUACCUGCACCUGAAUAUAUAGGGUGUGUGGAGGGAACGUGGGGAAGUGAAACAUCUCAGUACCCACAGGAAGAGAAAACAACAGUGAUUCCGUCAGUAGUGGCGAGCGAACGCGGAAGAGGCCAAACCAUGUGCAUGUGAUACCCGGCAGGGGUUGUGCGUGUGGGGUUGUGGGGUUUGUUUUUGUCGAUUCUGCCGGAUCGGCCGACAGUAAGAAAUCAUGUGGUUAGUCGAAGUGGUCUGGGAUGGCCUGUCGUAGAGGGUGAGAAUCCCGUAGACGAAAACUGUGUGACUGUCGAAGUGAAUGCCCAAGUAGCAGCGGGCCCGUGAAAUCUGCUGUGAAUCUGUCGGGACCACCCGAUAAGCCUGAAUACUCCCUGGUGACCGAUAGCGGACUAGUACCGUGAGGGAAAGGUGAAAAGUACCCCGGGAGGGGAGUGAAAUAGUACCUGAAACCGUGCGCUUACAAUCCGUCAGAGCCUGUGCACACUUCGGUGUGGUGGGUGAUGGCGUGCCUUUUGAAGAAUGAGCCUGCGAGUUAGUGGUAUGUGGCGAGGUUAACCCGUGUGGGGUAGCCGUAGCGAAAGCGAGUCCGAAUAGGGCGUUCCAGUCGCAUGCUCUAGACCCGAAGCGGAGUGAUCUACCCAUGGCCAGGGUGAAGCGACGGUAAGACGUCGUGGAGGCCCGAACCCACUUAGGUUGAAAACUGAGGGGAUGAGUUGUGGGUAGGGGUGAAAGGCCAAUCAAACUCCGUGAUAGCUGGUUCUCCCCGAAAUGCAUUUAGGUGCAGCGUCGCGUGUUUCAUCCUGGAGGUAGAGCUACUGGAUGGUCUAGAGGGCCCACAAGCUUAUCGAAAUCAGCCAAACUCCGAAUGCCAGGAUGUGAGAGCGCGGCAGUGAGACUGCGGGCGAUAAGGUUCGUAGUCGAGAGGGAAACAGCCCAGAUCGCCGGCUAAGGCCCCUAAGCGUGUACUAAGUGGAAAAGGAUGUGAAGUCGCGAAGACAACCAGGAGGUUGGCUUAGAAGCAGCCACCCUUGAAAGAGUGCGUAAUAGCUCACUGGUCAAGUGAUUUUGCGCCGACAAUGUAGCGGGGCUCAAGUACACCGCCGAAGCCGCGGCAUUCGCACAAUAGCCCGCGCACAUCCUACGGGGUGUGUGCCAGGUGUGUGGAUGGGUAGGGGAGCGUCGUGUGGCCAGGGAAGCGCCGGAGUGAUCCAGGUGUGGAGGCCACGCGAGUGAGAAUGCAGGCAUGAGUAGCGAAAGACGAGUGAGAAACUCGUCCGCCGAAUGAUCAAGGGUUCCUGGGCCAGGUUAAUCCGCCCAGGGUGAGUCGGGACCUAAGGCGAGGCCGACAGGCGUAGUCGAUGGACAACGGGUUGAUAUUCCCGUACCCGUGUAUCCGCGCCCAUGAUGAAUCAGGAGUACUAACCGUCCAGAGCCACCAGGAGCACCUUCGGGUGCCGGGUGUGGUGAUGCACGGGACCUUUCCUGGUAGUAGUCAAGCGAUGGGGUGACGCAGGAAGGUAGCUGAGCCAGUCAGUGGUAACACUGGUGUAAGCCUGUAGGGCGAGACCUAGGCAAAUCCGGGUCUCACACAGCCUGAGAGGUGAUGCAUAGCCGAAUGAGGCGAAUUCAGUGAUCCUAUGCUGCCGAGAAAAGCCUCUAGCGAGCUGGUACACGGCCCGUACCCCAAACCGACACAGGUGAUCAGGUAGAGAAUACCAAGGCGAUCGAGAUAACUAUGGUUAAGGAACUCGGCAAAAUGCCCCCGUAACUUCGGGAGAAGGGGGACCCCUGCUGGUGAU